RNAcentral lists this ribosomal RNA (668 nucleotides) under Stenotrophomonas maltophilia. RNAcentral describes it as "bacterial SSU rRNA". It matches the Rfam family "Bacterial small subunit ribosomal RNA", at positions 68 to 728 of the family's 1533-position model. Lineage: Bacteria; Pseudomonadati; Pseudomonadota; Gammaproteobacteria; Lysobacterales; Lysobacteraceae. The record is from RNAcentral.
CACAGUAAGAGCUUGCUCUUAUGGGUGGCGAGUGGCGGACGGGUGAGGAAUACAUCGGAAUCUACUUUUUCGUGGGGGAUAACGUAGGGAAACUUACGCUAAUACCGCAUACGACCUACGGGUGAAAGCAGGGGAUCUUCGGACCUUGCGCGAUUGAAUGAGCCGAUGUCGGAUUAGCUAGUUGGCGGGGUAAAGGCCCACCAAGGCGACGAUCCGUAGCUGGUCUGAGAGGAUGAUCAGCCACACUGGAACUGAGACACGGUCCAGACUCCUACGGGAGGCAGCAGUGGGGAAUAUUGGACAAUGGGCGCAAGCCUGAUCCAGCCAUACCGCGUGGGUGAAGAAGGCCUUCGGGUUGUAAAGCCCUUUUGUUGGGAAAGAAAUCCAGCCGGUUAAUACCUGGUUGGGAUGACGGUACCCAAAGAAUAAGCACCGGCUAACUUCGUGCCAGCAGCCGCGGUAAUACGAAGGGUGCAAGCGUUACUCGGAAUUACUGGGCGUAAAGCGUGCGUAGGUGGUUGUUUAAGUCUGUUGUGAAAGCCCUGGGCUCAACCUGGGAACUGCAGUGGAAACUGGACAACUAGAGUGUGGUAGAGGGUAGCGGAAUUCCCGGUGUAGCAGUGAAAUGCGUAGAGAUCGGGAGGAACAUCCAUGGCGAANGCAGCUAC